GCCCUCAUAGUUAAACUGGAUAUAACACAGUCCUCCUAAGACCGAGUUCGGGGUUCGAGUCCCUGUGAGGGCGCCA
This 76-nucleotide transfer RNA is filed under the name Alphaproteobacteria bacterium. RNAcentral's name for it is "tRNA-Arg". It matches the Rfam family "tRNA". From Rfam's summary of the family: Transfer RNA (tRNA) molecules are approximately 80 nucleotides in length. Their secondary structure includes four short double-helical elements and three loops (D, anti-codon, and T loops). The record is from RNAcentral. Lineage: Bacteria; Pseudomonadati; Pseudomonadota; Alphaproteobacteria. RNAcentral also lists the same sequence under 1 other name.